Non-coding RNA from Rattus norvegicus (Norway rat), 874 nucleotides. The record is from RefSeq and is a predicted model, not a curated record. NCBI's taxonomy places the organism in Eukaryota, Metazoa, Chordata, Mammalia, Rodentia, Muridae.
CAUUCAUGGCCUUCAUGGGUGGGUAAUAAGUGAUGAUCUCUUCCAGGGGCUGCCUUCAGAGGAAGGCUACAGCUUCAGCCUGACUCCGUCCUCCUGCCCCUCCCCCCCCCCCCCACCGCUAACCAAACCAGCCCAAACCAGCCCUUCCCAGCCUGACUCAGUCGAGACCCUCCUAUGUUGCCUCACUAGCAGCAAAAGGGGAUUAGGUUAGACAGGAGGAAUGCUUUCCUGGUAGAAGAAGAGGCAGGAAAUAAGGAGGCAGGCGUUGGAGUAAGAUGCCUUUAGUCUCUUCUAGAACCGUCUAUCUCGGCCCCACCCUUAGAUAAGGCCCGGCAGGGCCUCCCAGGAGUGACUUACCCUGAAACCAGGUAGGUCUUGAGGGCACUAAUGAUGACUGAGGAGUCAUUGAGCUGUUGCUGGAAGGGAAGAGACAAUUGUCUUUUGUGAUGCUGGCACAGAGGCUGGGGCCCUGGGCAGGUGAGGCAUGCCCGAGUACUAAGCCACGCCCUUGCCCAAAAGACAGGUUCGGAUCAGAGGUUCCGGCUGGCACAGAAGGACUGGGCUCCUUAAACAAUGGCAGCACCCGAGGUCCUUGAACCUGGGCACUGCUGAUCCAUCACAGAGGUACCCCAAACUCACGUCCUGAGCUCACUACUCCCCAUUCUCAGGCCCUCUUUUGGAGUAAUGGUGACCAGCUUACACUUUAUUUUCUUUGUGAAUGACAGAGAGGGUGGUCAGAAGACAGCUCGUAUAGUUGGUCUCCUUCUACCAGAGUCCUGGGACUUAAACUCAGGACGUCAGGUUUAGCAGCAAGCGCCUUUACCCAAAGUCAUGUCAGCGGCCCUUAAUUAAAACUGUAAUCUGGGCAUAGUGA